GAUGAACGCUGGCGGCGUGCUUAACACAUGCAAGUCGAACGAGAAGUGAAGACGGAAACCUUCGGGCGGAAGGCUUUAUUUCGAGUGGCGGACGGGUGAGUAACGCGUGGGUAACCUGCCUCAUACAGGGGGAUAACAGUUGGAAACGACUGUUAAUACCGCAUAAGACCACAGCACCGCAUGGUGCGGGGGUAAAAACUCCGGUGGUAUGAGAUGGACCCGCGUUCGAUUAGCCAGUUGGCGGGGUAACGGCCCACCAAAGCGACGAUCGAUAGCCGAUCUGAGAGGAUGACCGGCCACAUUGGGACUGAGACACGGCCCAAACUCCUACGGGAGGCAGCAGUGGGGAAUAUUGCACAAUGGGGGAAACCCUGAUGCAGCGACGCCGCGUGAGUGAAGAAGUAUUUCGGUAUGUAAAGCUCUAUCAGCAGGGAAGAAAAUGACGGUACCUGAGUAAGAAGCCCAGGCUAACUACGU
This 477-nucleotide ribosomal RNA is filed under the name uncultured bacterium. RNAcentral's name for it is "partial 16S ribosomal RNA". It matches the Rfam family "Bacterial small subunit ribosomal RNA", at positions 28 to 506 of the family's 1533-position model. The record is from RNAcentral.